RNAcentral lists this ribosomal RNA (459 nucleotides) under uncultured bacterium. Its description in RNAcentral is "partial 16S ribosomal RNA". It matches the Rfam family "Bacterial small subunit ribosomal RNA", at positions 338 to 795 of the family's 1533-position model. The record is from RNAcentral.
CCUACGGGGUGCAGCAGUGAGGAAUAUUGGUCAAUGGCCGGAAGGCUGAACCAGCCAAGCCGCGUGAAGGACGAAGGUGCCAAGCAUUGUAAACUUCUUUUGUCAAGGGACAAAAUCAGGCUCGAGAGCCUGACCGAGGGUACUUGAAGAAAAAGCAUCGGCUAACUCCGGGCCAGCAGCCGCGGUAAUACGGAGGAUGCGAGCGUUAUCCGGAUUUAUUGGGUUUAAAGGGUGCGUAGGCGGACUGUUAAGUCAGCGGUAAAAGCCCGGGGCUAAACCCCGGCGAGCCGUUGAAACUGGCUGUCUAGAGAUGUCGAGAGGUAUGCGGAAUGCGCAGUGUAGGGGUGAAAUGCUUAGAUAUUGCGCAGAACUCCGAUUGCGAAGGCAGCAUACCGGCGGCGAUCUGACGCUGAGGCACGAAAGCGUGGGUAUCGAACAGGAUUAGAUACCCGGGUAGUC